UUAUUAUUCUUUAAUAUGUCAAAAGCAGUAGGGGGCCUUUUGUAUGCUGGUUUCUUCCCUUGCUUUUUUAAGAGGGUUUUCACUAGCUUAGAGUCUCCUAAAUUUCUUGGUACUACUUCAUACUUCGGUGUUUCUUGUACUAUCGUUCUAGAUGUAUGGGUUCUGUUAGCUCUCGUGGCUUCUGUUCUCCUCAUAUUUCUUUCGUCUAUUUGCCUGCUUAUUUUGUUAAUGAUAGAAGGUCAGUAUCCAUGGUUUACAGCUAUUUUGACUAUAUUUUCCAUUUCUUCUCACAAGGUUUCUUCUGUAUUACAAUGAGUUUUAGCCCUGUCUAUUAAGGAACUUAGAGCUGCUCUUUUAUGAGUCCAUUUGUUGUUACACCAUUUUGGGAUUAUCAAUGUGGCCCCUGUCAGUUUUCUAUAGAUCUUCAUUUAUAAACGAGCUGUCUUUUAUUGUCAGAUCAAUAUCCAGAAAAUGGGCAUGAGCGCUGCUUUCUUGAUCCAAUUUCAGCUUGAGACUGUAUGCUGGGAUAGUAAAUGCCUGUUUUAAUGUAUCCACU
Molecule: long non-coding RNA, 556 nt
Filed under: Androctonus crassicauda
Lineage: Eukaryota; Metazoa; Arthropoda; Arachnida; Scorpiones; Buthidae
Source: RNAcentral